RNAcentral lists this ribosomal RNA (468 nucleotides) under uncultured bacterium. Its description in RNAcentral is "partial 16S ribosomal RNA". It matches the Rfam family "Bacterial small subunit ribosomal RNA", at positions 28 to 507 of the family's 1533-position model. The record is from RNAcentral.
GACGAACGCUGGCGGCGUGCUUAACACAUGCAAGUCGAACGGAAAGGCCCUGCUUUUGUGGGGUGCUCGAGUGGCGAACGGGUGAGUAACACGUGAGUAACCUGCCCUUGACUUUGGGAUAACUUCAGGAAACUGGGGCUAAUACCGGAUAGGAGCUCCUGCGGCAUGGUGGGGGUUGGAAAGUUUCGGCGGUUGGGGAUGGACUCGCGGCUUAUCAGCUUGUUGGUGGGGUAGUGGCUUACCAAGGCUUUGACGGGUAGCCGGCCUGAGAGGGUGACCGGCCACAUUGGGACUGAGAUACGGCCCAGACUCCUACGGGAGGCAGCAGUGGGGAAUAUUGUACAAUGGGCGGAAGCCUGAUGAAGCAACGCCGCGUGCGGGAUGACGGCCUUCGGGUUGUAAACCGCUUUCGCCUGUGACGAAGCGUGAGUGACGGUAAUGGGUAAAGAAGCACCGGCUAACUACGUG